Molecule: ribosomal RNA, 393 nt
Filed under: uncultured bacterium
Lineage: Bacteria
Description: bacterial SSU rRNA
Rfam family: Bacterial small subunit ribosomal RNA
Source: RNAcentral
CGCGUAUACAACCUACCUUUUGGAGGGGAAUAGCCCAGAGAAAUUUGGAUUAUACCCCAUAGUAUAUAGGAAUCUCCUGAGUUUUUAUAUUGAACAUUUAUGGCCAUUAGAUGGGUAUGCGUCCUAUUAGCUAGUUGGUGUGGUAACGGCACACCAAGGCUACGAUAGGUAGGGGUCCUGAGAGGGAGAUCCCCACACUGGUACUGAGACACGGACCAGACUCCUACGGGAGGCAGCAGUGAGGAAUAUUGGACAAUGGGCGAGAGCCUGAUCCAGCCAUGCCGCGUGCAGGAAGACUGCCCUAUGGGUUGUAAACUGCUUUUACAGAGGAAGAACCACCCCACGUGUGGGGGUUUGACGGUACUCUGCGAAUAAGGAUCGGCUAACUCCGUG